This 253-nucleotide ribosomal RNA is filed under the name uncultured bacterium. RNAcentral describes it as "partial 16S ribosomal RNA". It matches the Rfam family "Bacterial small subunit ribosomal RNA", at positions 524 to 776 of the family's 1533-position model. The record is from RNAcentral.
AACGUAGGACACGAGCGUUAUCCGGAGUUACUGGGCGUAAAGGGCGAGUAGGCGGUGCGAUAAGACUGGUGUGAAAGCCUUCGGCUUAACCGAGGGAGGACACUGGUGACUGUCGGACUGGAGGCAGAUAGAGGGGUGUAGAAUUCCGGGUGUAGUGGUGAAAUGCGCAGAUAUCAGGAAGAACACCGAUGGCGAAAGCAGCUCUCUGGGACGGUACUGACGCUGAGGCGCGAAAGCGUGGGGAGCGAACAGG